AACCUCAUAGAUUAAAUUAGAGAAACAACAGAUAUGGGGAAUUGAAUUCGUUGACCCAAUUCAAUGUUGUUCCAACCAUAAUAAAGGUUGUUUGAUUCAAUGGGGAAAAUUACAUCAACUCCACAAAAACCCCUAAAUUGUUUCUGAUUUCGAAAUUUUGGUACUUCAUGAUAACUGUAAACAAAUUAUUUCACUUGAUUUCGUUCACAAUAAGGGGUUCUACUUCAAAUUCAACCUACUUUGCUGAUUCAGGCAGAUUCAGAUGAUUUGGAUUCACUACUCUCGGACUUUAAAGCAUCAGACUUUCCGGAAAAACUCUGAAUAGGUUACUUUCUGUUGGUACUGUCGGUAAAUUCUUUGCCCUAAGUUGUGAUGCCAAAACUAAAUCCAAUUCUUAUCUCUUUCUUCUUCUCAAAUUGAACAGUUACAUGAAUUACAACAAAUAACAUAGGAGUACUAUUACGAAAGCUCAGCUUCUAAUACAAAUUGAGGUUCGUCGUAGUCCGAGAAUAGAAGCGCUGCUAGACAUAGAAGCUGAGAAGAAACGACAACAACUAAGAGAUAUUCGAUUAAACAAUCGGCGUAUUUCUGAAAAGGCAAAGCGAGCAGCAAUGACGGAAAAUGAAAGACAAGAGCUUCUUCAAAAACGACGCAACGCUUAUCGUAUACGAACAGCACCACGAGAUACACAUGCAAACAAAAAUGAGCAUGAAGCAUCAACAAGUUCUGGUAUGUUUUUUUCAGCUGUGUUACUGUGUAUAAUUGUUUGUUGCUUAUUAGCAUAUUAGAUGUGUAUGUUUUGAGCAGUUUAGGUCACAUUUUGUCUUUAAAUCAUGUGAAUGUUUGGCUAGGAAUUGAUGCAAAUUCCGAUUCCCACAAAUCACAUGUUAGUACGGAUUCCUUUAGAAUUUUGUUUGGAUCAUGUCCUUAGGUUAAAAUCUAUCUAUAAACCUGAACAAAGGUAGAGUAUUCUUCUUUUUUUUUUUGGAGUAAUCAUGUGGAGUUGAUUAAGAUCAGGUUUAUAGAUAGAUUUUAUUUCUAAUAAAUAGUUAGAUUUUGUUGCAUGAAUAACUAUUCAUAAUGCUAUAUUGUCAUUCUUUGAUAAGUACCCUUUAUGCUAAGAUAUAUAUAGCAGCAAUACGAUAUUUUGAAGACCCAUUAAACUACUAUGUUUUUAAAAGCAUGGGGUUUUCCAUUUUUCUUUUAACUUUGGUCGGGUAAUUUUGGCAAAUUUAGGUUUCAGUUCCCUCUUAGAGUUCAUGGAACAGAUGGAUAGUCUACAGUGCACACGGUGGAUUAAGCUCCAUUCACUGUUGUGUAUAAAGAAGUCUUUUUGUCCUAGAAAACUACGAGUUACGAAUACACAUUCUUGAUGUAAAAGGACAUUUAUGAUUGAAAAUUUAUUAAAUGAAAAUUUUAAGUUUAGUUGUGAUUACUUUUGCACAUUAACAUGAAAUGAGUUUUUACCAUUUGACAUUGAUUGUUGAUCGAGUGUUGACUUUGACCGUUGAUUAUUGCACAAAGACAACAACAUUACGAAACGAAUGUACCGGCAUGCGCAUCGCGCCUGCGUGCUAUACUAGUUACUAUAAUGAAAAGCCACAAUUUCUUGGAAGAAUGGAGAAUGAAGAACAUACGUACUUCAGAUUUUCUUAAGUACUUAUAAG
This is a long non-coding RNA of Papaver somniferum (opium poppy), 1667 nucleotides long. RefSeq lists it as uncharacterized. The record is from RefSeq and is a predicted model, not a curated record. The transcript is spliced from 3 exons. NCBI's taxonomy places the organism in Eukaryota, Viridiplantae, Streptophyta, Magnoliopsida, Ranunculales, Papaveraceae.